This 333-nucleotide long non-coding RNA is filed under the name Elaeis guineensis (African oil palm). RNAcentral describes it as "long non-coding RNA (EGUI_LNC058122)". The record is from RNAcentral. Lineage: Eukaryota; Viridiplantae; Streptophyta; Magnoliopsida; Arecales; Arecaceae.
AAACCAUUCUUGAAACUGUCCAAAAAAUCUUUUGACGAAGCCAUGGUUCUAUAUGAACUAACUUAUCUUAAUUAAUUUACUUUCAAUAUUUUGUCUGGCUGAAGAUAUUAAACUUAGUACUUCUGAGAGGAAAAUCCAAUUUCUUUAAACUAAUAUCUUUUCUAUUGAAUAAACAGAGAUAUCCAUCUUUAAAUUUCAGACUUCAAGCCAAUAUCACACCAGAUCACCUUCAACACAGAACACAUAUUUACCAAGUGACAUCUUUCUUUUUCUUUCUUGUAUUACAUUUUCUUUCCUCCUUUAUUAGAGAUAAUGAUAUUUAAGUUGGGGGGG